CAGGAACAGAUUUAUUCAGUGCCUGGAAUAACAAAAGCCUCAGCUGGGAUGAAAGGGAAAAACAUCUCCACGAUACCAAACAUUUAAAGGAAGUUUUGAUCUGAUGCAGUUUAAUGUGUACACAGAGGGGGGAAAAUUCUCAGAGAAUUUUGCUGCUUUUAACUAAGAUGAAAUGUUUGAUAUCCUUGUGGGUUCAGCCACUAUUAGGAACAGCAUCGGAUCACAAUCCCACAAAAGAAUAACAAAGGGUUGGGGGGAAGCAGCGGGAUGCCCUCAGUGUUAUUUUUACAGGAGAAAUGAGUCUUUCUCUAAUGGGAUGGGAAAGAAGAGUUUCAUGCAAAUCACCGGGAGAGACUCAGCUUUGUCUUUAAGUUUGGGGAUGAUCCAAAUCCUGGCUCAGCCCCUGCUGCGACACCGGCACGGGGAAGGAGAAAACAUGGGGAAAACAGGGCAGGGAGAGAAAGGGAGAAAUGGAGAGAGAGGGAGAGAAAGGGAGAGAAAGAGAAAGAAAGAGAGAAAGGGAGAUAAAGGAAGAGAAAUGGAAAGGGAGAGAAAGGGAGAGAAAGAGAAAGAAAGAGAGAGAAAGAGAGAGAAAGGGAGAGAAAGAGAGAGAGAGAGAAAGGAAGAUAAAGGAAGAGAAAUUGAAAGGGAGAGAAAGGGAGAGAAAGAGAAAGAAAGAGAGAAAGAGAGAGAAAGAGAAAGAAAGAGAGAGAAAGAGAGCGAAAGGGAGAGAAAGGAAGAUAAAGGAAGAGAAAUGGAGAGAAAGGGAGAGAAAGGGAGAAAUGGAGAGAAAUGGAGAGAAAGGGAGAAAAAGGGAGAGAAAGGGAGAGAAAGAGAAAGGGAGAGAAAGGGAGAGAAAGGAAGACGAAGAGGAAAAAAAAGGGAGAGAAAGGAAGGGAAAGAAGAGAAAGAAAAAGGAAGAGAAAGGGAGAGAAAGAGAAAGAAAAAGAGAAAGAAAAAGAGAAAGAGAAAGAGAAAGAGAAAGAGAAAGAGAAAGAGAAAGAGAAAGAGAAAGA
This 1016-nucleotide long non-coding RNA is filed under the name Parus major (Great Tit). RNAcentral describes it as "lncRNA (ENSPMJG00000015825.1)". Lineage: Eukaryota; Metazoa; Chordata; Aves; Passeriformes; Paridae. The record is from RNAcentral.